This is a long non-coding RNA of Cercocebus atys (sooty mangabey), 1120 nucleotides long. RefSeq lists it as uncharacterized. The transcript has 2 exons. The record is from RefSeq and is a predicted model, not a curated record. Lineage: Eukaryota; Metazoa; Chordata; Mammalia; Primates; Cercopithecidae.
CCUGGCCAACAGAGCAAGACUCUGUCUCAAAAAAAAAUAAAAAAGAAAAAGAAAAUAUAAUACACUUGGUUCAAUUUGAAUUUAAGAGACACAGAUGCUAGAAAACACUAUUUCUACAAAAUGCAGAAAAAGCAAAUAUAAACGUCAACAUUUAAAAGUCACAUUUAUGAGCCGGGCGCAGUGACUCGCACCUGUAAUCCCAGCACUGGGAUUUCUCAGGUUAUUUGUAUGCUUCAUACUAUGGCUGCGGCUUUUGCUGCCACUACCCACAGGCCCAACCUGGUUUGAAGUUCAGGCUUUAGGUAAAAAAGAUGGAGGGUCUCCUUGUAUUCUGGGAUGGAAGGUCAGAGACCUGUGGUAGGGCUAGGGGUUUGGGUACAACUUAAUUUUGUGGCAGGAUGAGAACUGCAGUGAGUUUAAUUGUGAUUGGCCUGGCCUGGUUGUAACUCUGGGUGACGGGGAGGGUGUCAGCCGUGGUGGUCUCCCAGACAUCCAUGUGCCUAGACCUAACCUGACUGCCCUCAGACCCAGCAAAAAGGCACCACCACAGGCUCUGACUUACCUCCCUACUCCCUGCACCCCAGAUGGGAAUACCUUGGAGGCUACAAUCUGAAUGUAUUAUUCUCCCUGUCUUAACCAGACCUCCCUAACACACACUGAGGGUAGAGUGGGUUUGGGACCUGGGGAGAACCAGGGCUGAAUCAUGAAUCCUGGGGGAAUGUUAAAGAUAGAGGAGUGGUUGUCACCGCUCUGUUGAGCCCAGCUUCCUACCUGGUCCUGGCCACACAGCCCCUCAGAUAGAGACUAGCUCUGUGGGUAGUUGGGGAUCCCUAUAGGCCCAGGCUGCUCUCUGUCCCCACCUGCCUGUGCUCCUUCUCUUGCCUGCUGUCAGAGCCCUAACAUGGAGAAGGAGGUUUCCACCCUGUGAGCCUGAGGGAGCUAUGUCUGACUGGGGCUUCUGCUAUCUAUGAAUAUGGUCUGCCCAGAUAUCUUGUUUUAAAGGGAGUGGCCAUGAGCUAGCAAGUGGAGCAUCCCCACAGCUGAUUAAUAACAUUUUCUUGUUUUUAAUCCAUCAUAUUUUCAUAUCACAUUAGAAUAAAGUAGGUUUUUAUAAACUGCU